Long non-coding RNA from Oncorhynchus tshawytscha (Chinook salmon), 522 nucleotides. Lineage: Eukaryota; Metazoa; Chordata; Actinopteri; Salmoniformes; Salmonidae. The record is from Ensembl.
GCACCCUAUUCCCUAUAUAAAGUAUAGUGCACUGCUUAGGCACCCUAUUCCCUAUAUACAGUAUAGUGCACUACUUAGGCACCCUAUUCCCUAUAUACAGUAUAGUGCACUACUUAGGCACCCUAUUCCAUAUAUACAGUACACUACUGAGGCACCCUAUUCCCUAUAUAAAGUAUAGUGCACUACUUAGGCACCCUAUUCCCUAUAUACAGUAUAGUGCACUACUUAGGCACCCUAUUCCCUAUAUACAGUAUAGUGCACUACUUAGGCACCCUAUUCCCUAUAUACAGUAUAGUGCACUACUUAGGCACCCUAUUCCCUAUAUACAUUAUAGUGCACUACUUAGGCACCCUAUUCCCUAUAUACAGUAUAGUGCACUACUUAGGCACCCUAUUCCCUAUACACAGUAUAGUGCACUACUUAGGCACCCUAUUCCCUAUAUACAGUAUAGUGCACUACUUAAGCACCCUAUUCCCUAUAUACAGUAUAGUGCACUGCUUAGGCACCCUAUUCCCUAUAUAC